Lytechinus variegatus (green sea urchin) is the source of this 1088-nucleotide long non-coding RNA. RefSeq lists it as uncharacterized. The record is from RefSeq and is a predicted model, not a curated record. The transcript has 2 exons. Lineage: Eukaryota; Metazoa; Echinodermata; Echinoidea; Temnopleuroida; Toxopneustidae.
AGUUUUGAAAGUAAAACAUUCAUCAAUAUUAAUAACCACUUCCUAUUUUAAUAGACAAUAAGCCACAAGAUUGUUAACAGUCAAUCCUUUGAAUAAUGUUAUGAUAAUGUUGUGUGUACUGUACAAAGUAUAUAGUCCUGAUUAGAAGCAUUGCGGGUUGUUGCAAGAAACUAUUUGCAAUCAAUUACAAAUUUCUAAUACAAUUUUAGAAAUAGAUAAAUUUCAGAUGCACAGUAUCAAAUCUGUUAACACUCUACAGAUCACCAAUCAACUGAAAAUUCAUGAUUUAUUGUGACAUGUAUGAUUGAUUUUCACACCCAACUUUGACUUGUAUCUGAAUGCAAGUUUUGCAUCAACCCAAUAGAGUUGCGGUUGCAGCAUCAAUCCACAUGCUCAAAGUACACUGAAUGAAUGACCCAUAGCUCAUAAAUUAUAUCAAAACAGUAAAACAAAUGUGAUAUAUAUGAAUCAUAUGAUUCAUUCGUUUCAUUCAAAACAUCAAGUAUUACACAACUGUUGUCAUCACACCUGAAUUUUCUUCACUUGAUUAAACUCAGUCGAUCUACAAUUCAUGAAGACACAUUCAUUGCGACUGGCACUGCUUCUGACAAAACAAUGUUUCAAAAUGGUACAAUUUAUCCUUUAUUAUGUAUCAUGAAUAAUUAUCAAGCCAUGCGUCUUGAACUCACUCCACCAAAAGGUGGUUUUGUUAUGCUUUUUCAAUUUUGAUUCGGUUUAACAUACGAUAUCUCAGUUGAAAGGAAACAUGUCUUUAAUUUGGUAUCAUUUUAAAGCUAACUAUAUACAGGGUAUCAUGUCUGAGAAAAAUUAGUGCAGUAGCACAUAUUUGUGACACUGCAACUGAUAGAAUGAAAAUAAGAAAGGGGGGUUGAGGAGGGGAAGCAGUUUACACAAAGUCUAUGGGAGAGUUACGUUUCAUAUUUCAAACAUGAAUAACUUUGGUAUACAGAGGGCUAGAGACUUAAUUUUUGGUCUCAUUUCAAAGCUUGAGGUGAGCAGUAUAAUAAUCCAUCAGCCUUCAUAAUCUAUUCUAAUUUAUUAACUGUAAUUAACAUUAUUUAAGAAAA